UGUGGACUUUCUUGGUGUCACGGUUGCGGAGGGGAUAGGAAGAGCGCUGUGAUGAACUGUCACCAGAUCUCAGUCCAGUAGACCUUUGGGAUGUGAUGGAACGGGAGAUUGACAGCUGACAAAUCUGCAGCAGCUGCAUGAUGCUAUCAUCAAUAUGGACCAAAAUCUCUGAGGAAUGUUUCCAGCACCUUAGUUGAAUCUCUGCCACCUCAUAUCUGAAGGCAUAUCAAAAGGGUGUCCGACCUGGUUCUAGCGAGGUGUACCUAAUGUAAUGUAUAUUG
Centropristis striata (black sea bass) is the source of this 281-nucleotide long non-coding RNA. RefSeq lists it as uncharacterized. The transcript has 3 exons. The record is from RefSeq and is a predicted model, not a curated record. NCBI's taxonomy places the organism in Eukaryota, Metazoa, Chordata, Actinopteri, Perciformes, Serranidae.